Sphaeramia orbicularis (orbiculate cardinalfish) is the source of this 175-nucleotide long non-coding RNA. RefSeq lists it as uncharacterized. The transcript is spliced from 3 exons. Lineage: Eukaryota; Metazoa; Chordata; Actinopteri; Kurtiformes; Apogonidae. The record is from RefSeq and is a predicted model, not a curated record.
UACAUUUACUUUUAUACUUUAAGUAGUUUUGAAACCAGUACUUUUACACUUUUACUUGAGUAAAAAGCUUGAAUUGAUACUUCAACUUCUACAGAAGUCUUUUGAAACCCUAGUAUCUACACUUCUGAGUAAUGAAUGUCAAUACUUCUGACACCUCUUCUGAAAUCUGUUUUGA